Molecule: microRNA precursor, 57 nt
Filed under: Echinops telfairi (small Madagascar hedgehog)
Lineage: Eukaryota; Metazoa; Chordata; Mammalia; Afrosoricida; Tenrecidae
Description: Ete-Mir-122_pre stem-loop
Source: RNAcentral
UGGAGUGUGACAAUGGUGUUUGUAUUCACAUAUCAAACGCCAUUAUCACACUAAAUA